This is a long non-coding RNA of Salvia splendens (bonfire salvia), 986 nucleotides long. RefSeq lists it as uncharacterized. Lineage: Eukaryota; Viridiplantae; Streptophyta; Magnoliopsida; Lamiales; Lamiaceae. The record is from RefSeq and is a predicted model, not a curated record. The transcript is spliced from 2 exons.
CACACAGUUCCCCACUUGCAUCACUCCUUAGUUAGGAAACCAUAUAUACAUCUUGUCUUCAUCUUCACCUUCACCUUCAUCUUCUCAACUCGAACUGCAGAGAAAUGUGGAGUGUGCCCAUUUGAGGCCAUGGAUCUACUUUGGUUUCACCAGAUUGUUACUUCAUCAAAAUCACCAACAAAAAACAUCUCUCAAAUUUCAGGCAUAGUGUCAAACCAAGAAAUCUCUUCAUCAUCUCCUCCAGUAGCGUCCUCAGAGGUGGAGAACAAGAGACAAGAAAGUGAAGAAACUACUACUACUACUACUACUAGUAAAUCUCACUCAUGUUCACCAACAACAAGAACAUCAAUGAAGAAAUCUCGAAGCUCAAUCGAUCUCGAGCUUCAAGAAGUGAAAGGGUUCAUGGAUUUAGGGUUUGUUUUCAAAAAAACACAACUUAAGCAGACAUGUCAUCAGCUUGAUCCCUGGAUUGCAACGAAUCAAAUCUCAAGAUGCUCAUGAUUUAGAGAUUCUUGAUGAAGAGAGAGAAGACAGAUUGAUGAUGCCAUAUUUGUCAAGAGUCAUGGCUUGUGAAAUUGCCAGAUUCUCCGUUGAUACUAAGUUUAAGGAUUUCGAGGGUUUGCAAUGAUUCGGACAAGGUGAAGAAGCACUUGAAGGAUUGGGCUCUAACGGUCGCAGCAACCGUCCACCAAGAGUCGUGACGGUCGGAUUAUCCGACUAGGCUAGUCUUGUAGAUUCUACGUCUGAUUAAAUAUACGAGAUUUUUUAGCUAUGCCUUUGGUUAUGACUUGUGCAAAUAGUAUGGAUGUUGAGUACAAACCUAUCACGCAUCGGUUGUUACUCAACAAUGGAGAUGCAAAUCACACAUUAUUUAUAUAAGUAUUUAGGAAAAUGUUACAUUAAAAAAGUAAAAAAGUAUGUGCUUUAUUGUGUACAAAAUGUGACAAAAUGUUUUUUGAAAAAAAAAACAUGUGAUGUUCAGAAAA